AUUGAACGCUGGCGGCAGGCCUAACACAUGCAAGUCGAACGGUAACAGGAAGAAGCUUGCUUCUUUGCUGACGAGUGGCGGACGGGUGAGUAAUGUCUGGGAAACUGCCUGAUGGAGGGGGAUAACUACUGGAAACGGUAGCUAAUACCGCAUAACGUCGCAAGACCAAAGAGGGGGACCUUCGGGCCUCUUGCCAUCGGAUGUGCCCAGAUGGGAUUAGCUAGUAGGUGGGGUAACGGCUCACCUAGGCGACGAUCCCUAGCUGGUCUGAGAGGAUGACCAGCCACACUGGAACUGAGACACGGACCAGACUCCUACGGGAGGCAGCAGUGGGGAAUAUUGCACAAUGGGCGCAAGCCUGAUGCAGCCAUGCCGCGUGUAUGAAGAAGGCCUUCGGGUUGUAAAGUACUUUCAGCGGGGAGGAAGGGAGUAAAGUUAAUACCUUUACUCAUUGACGUUACCCGCAGAAGAAGCACCGGCUAACUCCGUG
Molecule: ribosomal RNA, 490 nt
Filed under: uncultured bacterium
Lineage: Bacteria
Description: partial 16S ribosomal RNA
Rfam family: Bacterial small subunit ribosomal RNA
Source: RNAcentral